AAUAUUGGUCAAUGGAGGCAACUCUGAACCAGCCAUGCCGCGUGCAGGAUGACGGUCCUAUGGAUUGUAAACUGCUUUUGUACAGGAAGAAAACAUACUACGUGUAGUAAAUUGACGGUACUGUAAGAAUAAGGAUCGGCUAACUCCGUGCCCGCAGCCGCGGUAAUACGGAGGAUCCAAGCGUUAUCCGGAAUCAUUGGGUUUAAAGGGUCCGUAGGCGGCCUUAUAAGUCAGCGGUGAAAGUUUUUGGCUUAACCAAAAAAUUGCCGUUGAUACUGUAGGGCUUGAAUUUUUGUGAAGUAACUAGAAUAUGUAGUGUAGCGGUGAAAUGCUUAGAUAUUAGGAGGAACACCAGUGGCGAAGGCGACUCUCUGGACUGCAACUGACGCUGAGGCACGAAAGCGUGGGGAGCGAACA
Molecule: ribosomal RNA, 417 nt
Filed under: uncultured bacterium
Lineage: Bacteria
Description: partial 16S ribosomal RNA
Rfam family: Bacterial small subunit ribosomal RNA
Source: RNAcentral